CCUACGGGGUGCUGCAGUAGGGAAUCUUCCACAAUGGGCGAAAGCCUGAUGGAGCAACGCCGCGUGGGUGAAGAAGGUCUUCGGAUCGUAAAACCCUGUUGUUAGAGAAGAAAGUGCGUGAGAGUAACUGUUCACGUUUCGACGGUAUCUAACCAGAAAGCCACGGCUAACUACGUGCCAUCAGCCGCGGUAAUACGUAGGUGGCAAGCGUUAUCCGGAUUUAUUUGGCGUAAAGGGAACGCAGGCGGUCUUUUAAGUCUGAUGUGAAAGCCUUCGGCUUAAACGGAGUAGGGCAUUGGAAACUGGGAGACUUGAGUGCAGAAGAGGAGAGUGGAACUCCAUGUGUAGCGGUGAAAUGCGUAGAUAUAUGGAAGAACACCAGUGGCGAAGGCGGGUUGCUAGACGGUAACUGACACUGAGGCACGAAAGCGUGGGGAGCAAACAGGAUUAGAUACCCGAGUAGUC
RNAcentral lists this ribosomal RNA (465 nucleotides) under uncultured bacterium. Its description in RNAcentral is "partial 16S ribosomal RNA". It matches the Rfam family "Bacterial small subunit ribosomal RNA", at positions 338 to 795 of the family's 1533-position model. The record is from RNAcentral.